This 1016-nucleotide small RNA is filed under the name Pan troglodytes (chimpanzee). Its description in RNAcentral is "processed transcript". Lineage: Eukaryota; Metazoa; Chordata; Mammalia; Primates; Hominidae. The record is from RNAcentral.
CAGGCAUGGAUGCUGAACUGCUGGGAAGGGAGCUCAGGCUUUUUCUUUUUAGUCCCCAAGAGAAGAAUUCUUUCUCAGAUGUUUUUGUGGUUGGAGAAUAUUUUUGCCAUUGCUUUGAGAAGACUUCCCCUCCUAACUCCCCCUCUUUCCUUGGAAUUUCCUUCCUUAAAUGGAAAGCCUUCAACAUUCACUCCAAGCUCGCCCUUUUGCUCCCCCCAGGAAAAAUAACAAGCAAACAGAGGGUUGAGUUCCAGAAUAAAUUCUACAGCGGGACCGGUUUCAAGUUCUUACCCUUCUCCUUCGAGCAUAUUCGGGAAGGGAAGUUUGAAGAGUGAGUCCCUGUGAGGGCCGUGUGCCCCAUGCUACCCUCCCCGCCUCCCUCCACAGUGAUCAGCUGUGCCUCUCUGCCUGUUGGUUGUGAUCUUGGGCACCAGCUCAUUCGUGUCACCCUGUCUGUGAGUCAUUUAGAUAGAAUAGUCCUCCUUGGGUCUCCCACCACCCCUAGCUUUGUGUGUAGUGUAGUGAUUUUCUGGCUGUCACUCAAACUCACUGGGCACCAGCCUUGCCCUCUUAGCCUCCAUCCAUCCAGACAGCCCUUCCCACCUCCUGGUGGUGAGCCAGUCUGCAUUCCCACGCCAUCCCAAAGCCCUUUCAUCUUCCCUGUGCAUUGUAGAUGGAAGGAGCACCCAUGCCAUUCACAUCUAGACUUUGAGUUCCCUGCAUCUGCCACCGUAGUUUCUAGCAGGAGUAGUGGGGGGAGUAAUACGGAUUCUUCCCUAGAAGGGGACACUGGUAACAUGUCCCACUCUUGGAUUAGCAGGGGUGGGUCCAGGAAGAUGAUAUUUGCGUCUUUUGCCCACCCCCCUCUCGUGCUUGUUAAUCAGGCAUUCAGCUGGACCCAACUAGGCCAUCAUGAGUGGCUUCUCCCUGUCAUCCCCAGGGGUCAUAGGAUAUCUACACCUCCUUUCUGACCCCACCCUGCACUCCCAUCCUUUCCUCUCUCCCCGUUCAUGCCC